UAGUCCUUAUGGAAAGGUGUGUAAUGUAAACUAUUAGCUACGCAUGUUUCAACAGGUACUUAGGUGGAUGUUUAAAUUAUAUAUUUAUGUCUGCUGACAACAGUACUACACAGGCUGAUAAGUAAGGCCUCUUUGUUCCUGGGCUUUCCGCAGAAAUCCUGAUGAUGGCACUUAGGUAUGCUAUCAGCACAGUUUUGCUUCUUUAUACUGAAUUUCAUGCACUCCAUUGAUGCUUAGGCAUCUUGGUCAGAAAGUAUGUUUACUUAGUUUCGGGCCUGUCAGCGUUGAUAGAUGGAUUGGAUGCCAGCAUAUUUGCAUUAUUCCAGAUACUCCGUAGUUACUCCAACAUUACUUUGUUUCAAACAUCAUGUUUGCCUUUUGGUACUCAAGUCACUUCUUAUUUGACAGUCCUUUAAAAGAAGUUAAAAACUGGAAUCCUGCUUUGAUUGAUUCCAAAAUGGUCCCAUGGUUUACUCCAUAUAGGUUCUGGACAGCUAAUACUACCAUCCAUGUCAUGAGCUACUCUAAUCUGAUGACGGAAAAUAAUGUAUUGCUGCUGAUUCAUAUUGAAGGAUUUAGAACAUCCAUGUCACUUGAGUUGCUUGUUUUGUCUCGUAAUUUUGAGCCUAUUGAAAAAAAGGUAGUGCUAUACACUUAUGUUCCGAAUAGGCCCAAGCAAUCUCUUUCGUUGUAGAACUAAUUCUCACUUCGUAAAUAAAAAUCAUGCAGCUGUUCAGUCUUUGCCAUCGCACGUAAUUUUAGUUAUAACUUUAUGGAUGUUUUAUGAACUCAUUUGUCUUCUUUUCUUUGUGUAGCUCUUUUUCAGAUCUUCAGGCAGCUUCAAGUGGCAGUAGUGAUCUUGAACAGGGUUGUCUUAUGCAGUUUUUUGUCAGUUUAAAGAUAGAAGUGAAUGACAUACCUGGUACCUCUGUGAUGUUGUUAUCUUUUACCAUUGUACUUGGAGUAUAUACUGCCGAUCUUUGCUGAUCUAGUCAUUGUGCUCAUACAUGCUUAAGUAACUUGACCUUGAUAUUUAGCAUGUCUAGUUUGCAUCACAUGAUAUGCUACAUUAUCACUGUCAAGAUUUUCUGGACUAAACAAUUAUCAAAAAUGCCUAAUUAUUC
RNAcentral lists this long non-coding RNA (1124 nucleotides) under Brachypodium distachyon (stiff brome). Its description in RNAcentral is "long non-coding RNA (BDIS_LNC001440)". The record is from RNAcentral. Lineage: Eukaryota; Viridiplantae; Streptophyta; Magnoliopsida; Poales; Poaceae.